This 769-nucleotide ribosomal RNA is filed under the name Symbiodinium sp. Mp. RNAcentral's name for it is "partial Bacterial small subunit ribosomal RNA". It matches the Rfam family "Bacterial small subunit ribosomal RNA", at positions 1 to 800 of the family's 1533-position model. The record is from RNAcentral. Lineage: Eukaryota; Dinophyceae; Suessiales; Symbiodiniaceae.
CUGAGAGUUUGAUCCUGGCUCAGAACGAACGCUGGCGGCAGGCUUAACACAUGCAAGUCGAACGAACUCUUCGGAGUUAGUGGCAGACGGGUGAGUAACGCGUGGGAACGUGCCCUUCUCUAAGGAAUAGCCACUGGAAACGGUGAGUAAUACCUUAUACGCCCUUCGGGGGAAAGAUUUAUCGGAGAAGGAUCGGCCCGCGUUGGAUUAGGUAGUUGGUGGGGUAAUGGCCUACCAAGGCGACGAUCCAUAGCUGGUCUGAGAGGAUGAUCAGCCACACUGGGACUGAGACACGGACCAGACUCCUACGGGAGGCAGCAGUGAGGAAUCUUGCGCAAUGGGCGAAAGCCUGACGCAGCCACGCCGCGUGUCGGAAGACGGCCCUAUGGGUUGUAAACGACUUUUACCAGGGAAGAACGACUGAAUUUCGAUUUGGUGUGACGGUACCUGGUGAAUAAGCACCGGCUAACUCCGUGCCAGCAGCCGCGGUAAUACGGAGGGUGCAAGCGUUGUCCGGAAUCAUUGGGUGUAAAGGGUGCGUAGGCGGGCUACUAAGUCUGGGGUGAAAUCUUGCCGCUUAACGGUAAAAUGGCCUUGGAUACUGGUAGUCUUGAGUGUAGAAGAGGCAGGUGGAAUUCGUAGUGUAGCGGUGAAAUGCAUAGAUAUUACGAAGAACAUCAGUGGCGAAGGCGGCCUGCUGGUCUACAACUGACGCUGAGGCACGAAAGCGUGGGGAGCGAACAGGAUUAGAUACCCUGGUAGUCCACGC